AUAGAGAAUAGUUAGUGGCAGACGGGUGAGUAAUGCAUAGGAAUCUACCUAGUAGUAUGGGAUAGCCACUAGAAAUGGUGGGUAAUACUGUAUAAUCCCUGCGGGGGAAAGAUUUAUCGCUAUUAGAUGAGCCUAUGUUAGAUUAGCUAGUUGGUAGGGUAAAGGCCUACCAAGGCGAUGAUCUAUAGCUGGUCUGAGAGGAUGAUCAGCCACACUGGAACUGAGAUACGGUCCAGACUCCUACGGGAGGCAGCAGUGGGGAAUAUUGGACAAUGGGCGCAAGCCUGAUCCAGCUAUGCCGCGUGAGUGAGGAAGGCCUUAGGGUUGUAAAACUCUUUCAGUAGGGAAGAUAAUGGCGGUACCUACAGAAGAAGUCCCGGCAAACUCCGUGCCAGCAGCCGCGGUAAUACGGAGGGGGCAAGCGUUGUUCGGAAUUAUUGGGCGUAAAGGGCAUGUAGGCGGUUCGGUAAGUUAAAGGUGAAAUGCCAGGGCUUAAC
This 497-nucleotide ribosomal RNA is filed under the name uncultured Anaplasma sp. RNAcentral describes it as "bacterial SSU rRNA". It matches the Rfam family "Bacterial small subunit ribosomal RNA", at positions 81 to 613 of the family's 1533-position model. Lineage: Bacteria; Pseudomonadati; Pseudomonadota; Alphaproteobacteria; Rickettsiales; Anaplasmataceae. The record is from RNAcentral.